CCCAAUCUUUGGCUUGCUUGAACAGAAAUGCUGAUACCUUGACCAAAGAACUCUGUAGCCGCGGCUCAGCCGAGAGAGCGAACCAAGCCAAGUUGGUGGCAGAGGCCCACCUCCAAACAGNNACCGCAAGCAGCCAACUUUUGAGACAACCAGAGCAGCUCUGCCGCCAACUUUUCAGACCAUUUCACUCCCUCUCUUGGCCUCCCACCCAAGGCCCCCAGUGUUCCUUCUUUGACAGACCUAAC
Molecule: unclassified non-coding RNA, 245 nt
Filed under: Hevea brasiliensis (rubber tree)
Lineage: Eukaryota; Viridiplantae; Streptophyta; Magnoliopsida; Malpighiales; Euphorbiaceae
Source: RNAcentral